AUGAAUCCCCUGCAGCUGUCUUUCCUUGUGCCGCAGGAACAUCUCUGUGUGAAGAUCUCUGAGUGCAUCUCUGACUCCACCUGCUGGAUCAACUGCCUCAGCCCCCGACGUCGUCUCCUCCCUCCGACUCUGAAUGUGCGGGAAGAUAUUUAUCAUCAGGAUCUUCCAAGUAUGUGUGAAAGUAAGUAAGAAAAAAUAACAAUAACGCAGUUUUAGAAAUACACACGUACUGUCCUGAAGAUGAUAUUCGUGUACCAACGAUUAUGCAGAAUUACCCUUUUUUUUCUGAUGAGGAUCAUUGCUGUAUUAUAGUUUUUGUUAACUGUCAUUAAUGAUAAAUGAGCAGCAGAAUGUAAAUAUUGUAUCUGCAUGAGGUGGACUACUCAUACAUUCAAAUACUCGUGCUUGUAGAAGUACUUGAAUAAAUGUUCUUUGUUACGUUCCACCACUGAUUUAAACUGACACUAUAUGCCAAAAACAGUUUAUAUAAUUAUUUAAAUCAUACAUGAUACACGCAUGUAUCAGAGAUCAGUAGCAGUUCUUUUUUGUCAUUCAUAAUGCAAAUAGAAUAAAGAUUAGAACUGGAAUCUAACCAUUAAACAGAAAUGGAGAGAUGUGGAGAACAGAAGCUGAAAGGCAAUUUGAUAAUAGUAAUAAAAUAAAAAACGUGAUCAUUUUUCCUUUUAAUGUGUUGAUUUUAAACCUCAUGACAGUUUAAUCUGUUGCUUAAAUCCUUUUCACUACAUCGACCAGUGAACAUUGUCAGAUAAAGUUUAUAAUCUGCAGAUGAAAAUCUAUUUGUUUAUUCAUAUUUAUCUCUAAGUAGCUGCAGGUGAGAUGAAUUAACAUGCUGACGUUGCCUUCAGUGUCACCUAGUUAUUCCCGGCGAUCGACUACUAAGGCCAUUUAAAGAUGGGGUCUAUUGUUGUUUAAUGAUUUUGCAGCAGGAGAAGACGAGGAGUUGAAGUGCAGGGUGGUGUAACUGUGCUACAGCUGCAGGUUUAAACUACUAAGUACCAUCAAGUAAUUCAAAAGUGAAUAUAUCAGAGGUUUCAGUCGUUUUAUUUUCCGGAAAGACCGUGAAUGUGUUGAACGCAUGCGCAGUGUUAAGUUGAAACAAUAACAAACAUGGUUUCCGGCAAAAACUUUCAAUAUAAAGCCCACAUUAGUCCUCAAAUCUUGAGCCAUUAUCUGAUUACGUGAUAACAAAUGAUAUAGGUCACAUACUUAAUUUUUCCUUUUAUUAAGUAUUACAUUUUAAUUAUAUGUGUUUUCACUUUGAGCUUUUGAUGGUCUAUGUUUUACAGCAGGAGUAAAAUAUAUUUUUUGAUCAAUUAAAAAAAACUUUUUUGUGCCUUUGUCACAGACAUCUGUGUCAAAGUAGCACAAACAGGGGAUGUGUGUGUGUUUAUUUUAUCAAAAAGAUAAAACUUUGUGACAAUAAAGUCAUGUCUGUUUUAGAUGGAGUAGAGAUAUUUUCAUUAAUCAUCUUGCACAUGAAAACACAUCUGUAAAAUAUUAAAUAUAUACACAGAUAUUUGCAUGAAUUGAAACACAUACACAUAAUAAUAAUAAUAAUUGUAUGUAUAUAGCACCUUUCAGAAGCAGCUUCACAAAGUGCUUCCACAAAAACAUACAAAUCACAGACAAUUAAAAUCAGCAUUCUAACAAUAAUACGGUUUUCCAUCGUGCGUAAAGUGUACGCUUUUAUUUUGAAGGCCACC
Molecule: long non-coding RNA, 1724 nt
Organism: Scophthalmus maximus (turbot)
Lineage: Eukaryota; Metazoa; Chordata; Actinopteri; Pleuronectiformes; Scophthalmidae
Source: Ensembl